Molecule: ribosomal RNA, 460 nt
Filed under: uncultured bacterium
Lineage: Bacteria
Description: partial 16S ribosomal RNA
Rfam family: Bacterial small subunit ribosomal RNA
Source: RNAcentral
CCUACGGGUGGCUGCAGUGAGGAAUAUUGGUCAAUGGACGAGAGUCUGAACCAGCCAAGUAGCGUGAAGGAUGACUGCCCUAUGGGUUGUAAACUUCUUUUAUAUGGGACUAAAAUGUUCCACGUUUGGGAUUUUGUAUGUACCAUAUGAAUAAGGAUCGGCUAACUCCGUGCCAGCCGCCGCGGUUAUUCGGAGGGUCCGAGCUUUAUCCGGAUUUAUUGGGUUUAAAGGGAGCGUAGGUGGAUUGUUAAGUCAGUUGUGAAAGUUUGCGACUCAACCGUAAAAUUGCAGUUGAAACUGGCAGUCGUGAGUACAGUAGAGGUGGGCGGAAUGCGUGGUGUAGCGGUGAAAUGCUUAGAUAUCACGAAGAACUCCGAUUGCGAAGGCAGCUCACUGGACUGCAACUGACACUGAGGCUCGAAAGUGUGGGUAUCAAACAGGAUUAGAUACCCGGGUAGUC